Molecule: ribosomal RNA, 778 nt
Filed under: Butyrivibrio proteoclasticus
Lineage: Bacteria; Bacillati; Bacillota; Clostridia; Lachnospirales; Lachnospiraceae
Description: bacterial SSU rRNA
Rfam family: Bacterial small subunit ribosomal RNA
Source: RNAcentral
CUUAAACAUGCAGUCGAACGGAGUUUAACAGCUGAUGAAGCUUCGGCAGAUUCUUGUUAAACUUAGUGGCGGACGGGUGAGUAACGCGUGGGUAACCUGCCUCAUACAGGGGGAUAGCAGUUGGAAACGACUGAUAACACCGCAUAAGCGCACAGGAUCGCAUGAUCUAGUGUGAAAAUAUUUAUAGGUAUGAGAUGGACCCGCGUCUGAUUAGCUAGUUGGUGAGGUAACGGCCCACCAAGGCGACGAUCAGUAGCCGGCCUGAGAGGGCGGACGGCCACAUUGGGACUGAGACACGGCCCAAACUCCUACGGGAGGCAGCAGUGGGGGAUAUUGCACAAUGGGCGAAAGCCUGAUGCAGCGACGCCGCGUGAGUGAAGAAGUAUUUCGGUAUGUAAAGCUCUAUCAGCAGGGAAGAAAGACCUCGUAAGAGGGGAUGACGGUACCUGAGUAAGAAGCCCCGGCUAACUACGUGCCAGCAGCCGCGGUAAUACGUAGGGGGCAAGCGUUAUCCGGAUUUACUGGGUGUAAAGGGAGCGUAGACGGUGUAUCAAGUCUGAAGUGAAACCCCACGGCUCAACCGUGGGCUUGCUUUGGAAACUGGUAGACUAGAGUACUGGAGAGGUAAGCGGAAUUCCUGGUGUAGUAGUGAAAUGCGUAGAUAUCAGGAAGAACAUCAGUGGCGAAGGCGGCUUACUGGACAGCAACUGACGUUGAGGCUCGAAGGCGUGGGGAGCAAACAGGAUUAGAUACCCUGGUAGUCCACGCCAGUAAACGA